UACGUAGGGGGCAAGCGUUGUCCGGAUUUAUUGGGCGUAAAGCGCGUGUAGGCGGCCAUACAGGUCCGUUGUGAAAUCCCUCGGCUUAACCGAGGAACUGCCUCCCAAACUGCUUGGCUUGAGACCGGGAGAGGUGAGUGGAAUUCCCAGUGUAGCGGUGAAAUGCGUAGAUAUUGGGAGGAACACCAGUGGCGAAGGCGGCUCACUGGACCGGUACUGACGCUGAGACGCGAAAGCGUGGGGAGCGAACAGG
Molecule: ribosomal RNA, 253 nt
Filed under: uncultured bacterium
Lineage: Bacteria
Description: partial 16S ribosomal RNA
Rfam family: Bacterial small subunit ribosomal RNA
Source: RNAcentral